CUGCGUUUCGGCGCAGCCAACCGUCGUGGGGCUGUCUUUUCACUUUUCCUUCCGGUGUGCUUCUUGUGCCCGGGAGGAACACUAGUUAUCGGUGUCUGUUUGGUUCUACCCUCGUGGGGAAUAGCAUUGUGUUUAAUGACGGAUUUUUCUUGUCCCACUGAUAUUUAUUAUCUUUCGGUGCAAGCUGAUAUGUUAGCUAGGUGAGAACUUGUGCAGCAGUGGGCAAAUGCCCCGGGACUGCACUUGGAUUUCGCCAACUCUCACGGAUGCCGUGCCUAAUGAGGAUUCUGCGGGCCUCUUGUCCCCUGAUUCCCUCGGGAGUUCCCUUGUAUACUGGAUCAUUGCUCCGCCGCUCCGCUAUCUUGUUGCGUUGUUGGGAUGUCGGAGCGGUGCGUGCGGAGCACGCUCCGUUGCAUGCGAGAUGUUUAUCCGAUUGGACGAGCGACUGUCCGUUCCCGUCGUGUGAUCGGACUCCCAUUUAGGGUGUGCCGGAGCGACGUGUCGGCUCUCGUUUCAGACGUGCUACCUGGUUGAUCCUGC
Molecule: unclassified non-coding RNA, 540 nt
Filed under: Caustis blakei
Lineage: Eukaryota; Viridiplantae; Streptophyta; Magnoliopsida; Poales; Cyperaceae
Description: partial external transcribed spacer
Source: RNAcentral